GCACAUGCCAGGCUCCUCUCUUCUCUUCCGUCCUGUCUGUCUCACUGGAUCCUCGACGGAGAACAAGCACCAUAGGAGAUGACCUUACUGCUGAAUGAUGGGGAGAAGCUGUCCCACAGUCUGUGCUGCCCCUGUGGGUCCUGAGGUGCCGGAGGAGACCUCAGGCCAGCUCGGUUUCCUCGCUUUCCCUGCGUUCAGCAGUGACGUAGAAACAUAAUGUUUCUGCUGCAGCAAAGGAGAGCCUUCUCACUGCAGACACCAGCAGGGUUCAACAACAGAGGUCACGGUGAUGGCAGGACACGAGGCUUUUAGGAACUCAAGCAGCAAUCCUGAUAACUUCCUCCAGGUUUCUGCUGCAGCAAAGGAGAGCCUCCUCACCAGACACCAGCAGGGUUCAACAACAGAGAAUCCUAAAACCAUCCUGGAGACGUGAAAUGAGGAGUGUCCACGUCCUUUCACUGAGCAGCUGAUUGAUGCAGGCAUCAGUGACCAGCUGAGAGCACAACUGUCAGCACCUGGAUCUGCAGUCACUUGCUUUAGAUUAAACUGAAUCUCUUCUGCAGUGAUCAGUCACUUUGAACAACUUCUGUCAUUUGCAGGAGAUUUUGCCUUGUCUUUUUUUUUUUUCUACCACUCCAAAUUCCAGAGAAGUUCAGAUGCUGUGUAUAACAGAAUAGACUGUUAAUUUGCUAUUAGACAGCUACUGAAAAUGAAAGCGGCACAAAGACAACAACUUUAAUAUAAGAGCUCAUCAGCUUAAUUGAUCUUUGUAAAUAUCUGCUUAUUCUGAAUUUGAUGCCAACAGCACAUUUCAAACAAGUUGGGCCAAGAGCAGCAAAAGACUGGGAAAGUUGUGGAACGCUCCAAAAACACCUGUUUGGAUCAUUCCACGGGUAAACAGGUGGAUUGGUAACAGGUGAUAGCAUCAUGAUUGGGUAUGAAAGGAGCAUCCUCGACCGGCUCAGUCGUUAACAAAGGAUGGAACAAUGUUCACCACUCUGAACACAUGACUGUAGAAAGGAUAUUACCACAUGGACUUAUGAACACUUUGUAAAAUUGAUGUGAGUAAGCAGUUUGUAAAUGAUUGCAUUCUGUCUUUAUUUAUGCAUUAGUGUCCCAGCAUUGUACAAUGAGUUCAACAAAUAAAAUAUCAGCA
Long non-coding RNA from Chelmon rostratus (copperband butterflyfish), 1156 nucleotides. RefSeq lists it as uncharacterized. The record is from RefSeq and is a predicted model, not a curated record. Lineage: Eukaryota; Metazoa; Chordata; Actinopteri; Chaetodontiformes; Chaetodontidae. The transcript is spliced from 9 exons.